RNAcentral lists this small nuclear RNA (329 nucleotides) under Felis catus (domestic cat). Its description in RNAcentral is "7SK RNA". It matches the Rfam family "7SK RNA". From Rfam's summary of the family: 7SK was discovered as an abundant small nuclear RNA in the mid-70s but a possible function has only recently been suggested. Two independent studies have found that 7SK RNA binds the CDK9/cyclin T complex (known as elongation factor P-TEFb). The record is from Rfam by way of RNAcentral. Lineage: Eukaryota; Metazoa; Chordata; Mammalia; Carnivora; Felidae.
GUAUGUGAGGGCAGUCUGUCACAUCUGUCACUCCAUUGAUCUCUAGAUUGAUUCAGCUGAUCUGGCUGGCUAGGCUGGUGUCCCCUUUCACUCUCUGCUCAUGUGUAUUCCCGGUGAAGUUGUAUGUUGGGCCAAAGAGGACAACGUCCCCCGGUAGAGAAGAAUCAAUCUUUGGUCAAGGGUGUAUUAGUAACUGCACUUCUGUUAGAACCUCCAUACAAACUUUUACUGUCCAUUUGUAGGAGAAUGCAGUCAAGCUUCCUUAAAAGGCCAAAAAAAACAAAACAAAACAACAAUAAACAAACAAAAACAGAAAAACAUACAUAUUU